This 1026-nucleotide ribosomal RNA is filed under the name Triticum aestivum (bread wheat). RNAcentral's name for it is "partial small subunit ribosomal RNA". Lineage: Eukaryota; Viridiplantae; Streptophyta; Magnoliopsida; Poales; Poaceae. The record is from RNAcentral.
AUGGCCCAGCCUAACAAGCCACGAGACAAAACCCUAUGCGCGCCACUGUGCCGCGCCACGCCACCACAACUCGACGAAUUCUUGCACAAAUCGACGUUACUACAAAGCAGCAGAAUUACAUACAGGGAGCGAGCGACUAAUCAGUCCGAUUACUACAUCAUCAGCCAUGCGAUGCGACGAGUCUCAGAGCAAGAGGCAGCAGCACAGCAGCGCGGAGGCCGACGGCCAGAGGGCGCCGCCCCUCGCGAUCGCUCCGCCGGGGGAAGCGCCGGAGCCGCCGUCGCCUCCGCAGACGUCCACGCCGACCUCCUUCAUGGCGGCCCGGUCAUCCACGCACAGCCCCGGGUUGCCGCUCAGGUCGAGGUUCCGGCCGAGCCGCCGGAGGAACGCGCCGUCGAACGGCACGGCGCCGUCCAGCCCGUUCUUGCUCAGGUUCAGGUGGUACAUGCGCUUCAGCCGGCUCAGCCCCGCCGGGAUCCUGCCCGUCAGGUUGUUGUUCUGCAGCGACAGCGUCGUCAGGCUCGUCAGCCGCCCGAACGUCUCCGGAAUAGACCCCGAGUAGCCGGAGUUGGCCAGCCUCAGCUCCUGCAGCCGCGCGAUGCCGCCCAGCUCGGGCGGCAGCGGCACGCCCAUCGGGUUGUUCUCCAUGAUCAGGUACUGCAGGUCCCGGAGGCCGGCGAGGCCCGCGGGCAGGCGGCCGCUCAAGCCGUUGUUGCUCAGCGCCAGGAAGGUGAGGGAUCUGAGGCCGGAGAAGGUGGCCGGGACGCCGCCGGUGAGGUUGUUGGAGCUCAGGUCCAGCUUCUGCAGCUGCGCCAGCCGGCCGAGCUUGCUCGGGAUGGGGCCCGAGAAGGAGUUGUAGCUGAGGUCGAGGCCCUGGAGGCUCCGGAGGUCGCCGAUCCGCGCCGGGAUGGGGCCCGUGAGCGAGUUGUAGCUGAGGUCGAGGUGGACGAGGCCGGUGAGCUCGCCGAUGCCCCGCGGGACCUCGCCGCGGAUGAGCGGGUUCUGAGAGACGGUGAGCACCUGUAG